This 2077-nucleotide ribosomal RNA is filed under the name bacterium. RNAcentral's name for it is "partial 23S ribosomal RNA". It matches the Rfam family "Bacterial large subunit ribosomal RNA", at positions 833 to 2925 of the family's 2925-position model. The record is from RNAcentral.
UCAAACUUGGAGAUAGCUCGUACUCCCCGAAAUGCAUUUAGGUGCAGCCUCGGGCAAAAUACCGCGGAGGUAGAGCGACUGAUAAGAUGCGAGGGCUUCACCGCCUAUCAAGUCUUGACAAACUCCGAAUGCCGCGGCACGAUACCCGGGAGUGAGGGCGUGGGUGCUAAGGUCCACGUCCGAAAGAGGAACAACUCAGACCACCGGCUAAGGCCCCCAAAUACGGGCCGAGUUGAAGCCAAUAACGAGGUGGGAUUGCAUGGACAGCUAGGAUGUUGGCUUGGAAGCAGCCAUUCAUUUAAAGAGUGCGUAACAGCUCACUAGUCGAGUGAUCCCGCAUGGAUAAUAAUCGGGCAUAAGUCCGUUGCCGAAGCCGUGGAAUGCAGCAUAAAGCUGCGUUGGUAGGGGAGCAUUCCGGCAGCCGCAGAAGGUGGGGCGUGAGCCCUGCUGGAGGUACCGGAAAAGCAAAUGUAGGAAUAAGUAACGAUAAAGGGGGCGGGAAACCCCCUCGCCGUAAGACCAAGGGUUCCUGAUCAACGCUAAUCGGAUCAGGGUAAGCCGGGGCCUAAGUGGAAGCCGCAAGGCGCACACGAUGGACAAACGGUAAAGAAUCCGUUGCCCCGCAGUCCCAGUGAUGUGGAGACGGAGCAGUGACACACCCGCGUGCUGACGGAAUAGCACGUUGAACCGCGUAGGUAAACGCUGGGGAGGCAAAUCCCCCCGGCGUGCUGAAACGGGACAGUACGGAGCGCCCCCGGGCAAUCCGACAGCGGUGGUAACCAUACUCCCGAGAAAAUCCGCUAAACGCUAUAAAGGGCUGCGGGCCCGUACCGUAAACCGACACAGGUGGUCGGGUAGAAUAUACCAAGGCGCUCGAGAGAUUCACGGUUAAGGAACUAGGCAAAUUGACCCCGUAACUUCGGGAAAAGGGGUCCCCUCCUCCGGGAGGGGCGCAGAGAAUAGGUCCAGGCAACUGUUUAACAAAAACACAGGGCUGUGCGAAAUUGAAAGAUGAAGAAUACAGCCUGACACCUGCCCGGUGCCGGAAGGUUAAGAGGAGGCGUCAUCGCAAGAGAAGCGCUGAAUUGAAGCCCCGGUAAACGGCGGCCGUAACUAUAACGGUCCUAAGGUAGCGAAAUUCCUUGUCGGGUAAGUUCCGACCUGCACGAAUGGUGUAAUGAUCCGGACACUGUCUCAACCGUGAGCUCGGUGAAAUUGUAGUAUCGGUGAAGAUGCCGAUUACCCGCAACGGGACGAAAAGACCCCGUGAACCUUUACUGCAGCUUUGCAUUGUGACCGGGUGCUCGAUGUGUAGGAUAGUCAGGAGGCAGCGAAACAGCCACGCCAGUGGUUGCGGAGCCGACGUUGAAAUACUGACCUUCGCGCAUCUGGUCUCUAACGCCCUGAGGGCGGACAUUGCAUGGCAGGUAGUUUGACUGGGGUGGUCGCCUCCAAAAGAGUAACGGAGGCUUCUAAAGGUGCCCUCACGGCGAUUGGUAACCGCCGUUAGAGUGUAAUGGCAUAAGGGCGCUUGACUGGGAGACUUACAAGUCGAUCAGGUAGGAAACUAGAGCAUAGUGAUCCGGUGGUUCCGCAUGGAAGGGCCAUCGCUCAAAGGAUAAAAGGUACUCCGGGGAUAACAGGCUGAUCCCUCCCAAGAGCUCAUAUCGACGGAGUGGUUUGGCACCUCGAUGUCGGCUCGUCACAUCCCGGGGCUGGAGAAGGUCCCAAGGGUUAGGCUGUUCGCCUAUUAAAGUGGCACGCGAGCUGGGUUCAGAACGUCGUGAGACAGUUCGGUCUCUAUCUGUUGUGGGCGCGGGAGAUUUGCGAGGACCCGACACUAGUACGAGAGGACCGUGUUGGACGGAGCACCGGUGUACCGGUUGUGGCGCCAGCCGCACCGCCGGGUAGCCGCCUCCGGCAAGGAUAAGUGCUGAAAGCAUCUAAGCACGAAGCCCCCCUCAAGAUAAGAUCUCCACAUAAGGGCCGUCAAAGACGAUGACGUCGAUAGGUCGCAGGUAUACGGGCGGCAACGUCCUCAGCCGAGCGAUACUAAUCACCCAACCCCUUUCCGCAA